AUAUACUAUUAUAAAAUUACAGUAUAGUAACAUCACCUUGUUGUCACUGUAAAUGAUUCAAACUUUCCAAUGUGUCACAUGAGAGUGUGAAAAUUUUUGGAGAGCCAUUUGAUUUUGAAGUUUUCUUGGGUGUAAAACUGAACAUGCAAAUUAGCAUUGUCAUUAUAGCUGUCAAGUUAAUCUUAAUGUUAAUUUAAUGUGGUUAAUUUUAGAAGAAAAAAGAAAAAACAAUUAAUGCACUUAAUUAUGCCCCCAACCCAUGUGUAAAUACCAUAAUGAAUGAUUUUCAAGCUUGGAGUACCACCUUCAUGUUUUUGUGCUGUUGCUACAGGCAAAGUACAGCAAUACCCAUUGACCAUUACACGAUAUUACCAAAAAUAUCAACAUAUAGCAGCUUCUUUCUGUAAUAUGGAAAUAUAUGUGUGUGUGUGUGUGUGUGUGUAUAUAUAUAUAUACACAUAUCUUUUCAUGCUGCUGAAAAAUGUAGUUUAGUUAGCAGUGCUUCAAGUUACUCCUCAAGGCAAGAAGUAAUUUGUUCAGAACUCAGUUAUGUAAUUUUCGACACAUGUACAGAAGUCCUAUAUGUGCAACAAAGUAUGAAAUGAGCAUGUGCUACAAGACAAAUGACUGCCAAUGCCAAAUAUAUCUUAUGAAAGAGCCCACACCAACCAUCGCAUCACUUCAGAAUGGGAAUUGAUGUCAUCCCUCAACCGUUCACUGGCUUGGCUGGCUGCAAUAAAACAGUCUCGCAUUGAAAACACAUUAGCUCAUGAUUUACCAUUUAGGGAAAAUGACAGUCUAGUCUUUAUUUGACUGGCCCUAAAUAGACAAAUGACUGUGGCCGUGAUGGCUAGAGAAAGCGAGCGAGAUAUAUGAAAGAACAAAAGGCAGUCUUGCUCCUCUCUUACACACUUUCAUAAGGACUGAUGGGAUGGAAAGCGAGUGCGGAGGGCUGCCGGCUCGAAUGGGUCCUCCAGGGCACAGUGGUCAGCUGCACUCCACUGACUAGCGUUCUGACAUGGACACAGCCCGGGCCCAUAUCGAUCCCCAUGAAAUCUGAACCAUCAUCUGUGACUGCUGGCUGCUCUGGGGGAGAGAGGCUGAUUAACAUGGAUGGACUGAUGUCACCGGGCUUUCCAUGUUGGCCUACAUGCAGGCUGAGGCAGACCAAGGCAAAUUACUGGAGACUUGAGCAGACGGCCUAAAAUAAACAUCGCCUGAAGUGAUGGAUAGUGUGUGACUGUGCAUAUCAGGACUGGCCAGAAAUAGAUUACAAACAUUUUUAACAAAAAUCUUGAUUCGUUC
This is a long non-coding RNA of Cyprinus carpio carpio, 1305 nucleotides long. NCBI's taxonomy places the organism in Eukaryota, Metazoa, Chordata, Actinopteri, Cypriniformes, Cyprinidae. The record is from Ensembl.